CACAAUCACAUUUGUAAGUCGCUCUGGAUAAGAGCGUCUGCUAAAUGACUUAUG
Salmo salar (Atlantic salmon) is the source of this 54-nucleotide non-coding RNA. Lineage: Eukaryota; Metazoa; Chordata; Actinopteri; Salmoniformes; Salmonidae. The record is from Rfam.